This 775-nucleotide ribosomal RNA is filed under the name uncultured Neocallimastigales. RNAcentral describes it as "partial large subunit ribosomal RNA". It matches the Rfam family "Eukaryotic large subunit ribosomal RNA", at positions 24 to 633 of the family's 3401-position model. Lineage: Eukaryota; Fungi; Neocallimastigomycota; Neocallimastigomycetes; Neocallimastigales. The record is from RNAcentral.
UAUGUGAUCGUCUCUCGCAUAUCAAUAAGCGGAGGAAAAGAAACUAACAAGGAUUCCCCUAGUAACGGCGAGUGAAGCGGGAAGAGCUCAAAUUUGAAAUCUUAAAGGGUUUCCCUUUACGAAUUGUAGUUUAAAGAAGUGUUUUCUGUUGAGGUUUUGGUAAAAGUUCUUUGGAAUAGGACAUCAUAGAGGGUGAGAAUCCCGUAUUUGACCUUUACUUUCAACUUUGUGAUACACUUUCAAAGAGUCGGAUUGUUUGGGAAUGCAGUCCAAAAUGGGUGGUAAAUUUCAUCUAAAGCUAAAUAUUGGCGAGAGACCGAUAGCGAACAAGUACCGUGAGGGAAAGAUGAAAAGAACUUUGAAAAGAGAGUUAAACAGUACGUGAAAUUGUCAAAAGGGAAGCGUUUGACACCAGUGUUGUUUUUCUGAAAAUCAAUUAAAGAACUGUUUAUGCUAAGUUGUUUAGACUUUAUCAGCUAACUGUUUAGUUUUGAGCUUUUCUUUAAUGCACUUUUCAGUUAACAAGUCAACAUCAAUUUCUUUUGCUGUAAAAAAGCUUGAGGAAGGUGGCUUGAGAUUCGUCUUAAGUGUUUAUAGCCUCUUGCCUAUGCAGUCGGAGAGAUUGAGGUCUGCAGCGUAGAUCCUUCGGGGCUAAAUGCAUUUGUGCUAAGUUAUAGCAUUUUCAUAGACAACUUGUUGACUAUGAUUUGUCUUGUAGCUUACUCGCUUAUGUUAUUUUACCUACGCUUAGGAUGUUGAAGACUCUACAGAGAUA